GACGAAUGCUGGCGGCGUGCCUAAUACAUGCAAGUUGAGCGAUGAAGAUUGGUGCUUGCACCAAUUUGAAGAGCAGCGAACGGGUGAGUAACGCGUGGGGAAUCUGCCUUUGAGCGGGGGACAACAUUUGGAAACGAAUGCUAAUACCGCAUAACAACUUUAAACAUAAGUUUUAAGUUUGAAAGAUGCAAUUGCAUCACUCAAAGAUGAUCCCGCGUUGUAUUAGCUAGUUGGUGAGGUAAAGGCUCACCAAGGCGAUGAUACAUAGCCGACAUAGGAGGGUGAUCGGCCACAUUGGGACUGAGACACGGCCCAAACUCCUACGGGAGGCAGCAGUAGGGAAUCUUCGGCAAUGGACGAAAGUCUGACCGAGCAACGCCGCGUGAGUGAAGAAGGUUUUCGGAUCGUAAAACUCUGUUGGUAGAGAAGAACGUUGGUGAGAGUGGAAAGCUCAUCAAGUGACGGUAACUACCCAGAAAGGGACGGCUAACUACGUGCCAGCAGCCGCAGUAA
Molecule: ribosomal RNA, 513 nt
Filed under: uncultured bacterium
Lineage: Bacteria
Description: partial 16S ribosomal RNA
Rfam family: Bacterial small subunit ribosomal RNA
Source: RNAcentral